AACAACCCUCAAGCCUGGCUUGCUGUUGGAUCUCACGUCGUUAAACCGACGGGUCCUAAAGACAAGGACAGAGUCAGUUGGGCCCUAGAUGCAACGAGCUUUUAUAGCACGCAUUGAAGUAGCCGGCGGCUCUGGUCUUAAAUUAUAUAUUUUAUAACAAGGUUGACCUCGGAUCAGGUAGGAAUACCCGCUGAACUUAA
This 200-nucleotide unclassified non-coding RNA is filed under the name soil metagenome. Its description in RNAcentral is "partial contains internal transcribed spacer 2 and large subunit ribosomal RNA". The record is from RNAcentral.